AAUCUUUUUCUUGUUCGAGAUAUGCAGUUCCCUCACCUCACCUGUGCCGUGCCGCCUUCGGUUCGUGUGCAUAAAUAUUCAAAAUCCGCAACUACUCUCCGUCUCUCGUCGGAUGAAAUCAGUUUCGGUGAUUGGUGUUAGUCGCCGUUUUCAUCACUUACUCCGGAUUGUUUUCCUCAAUUUUUGCCUGGUGUUGGAUUUGUCUUCUCAAAUCCCCAAACGCCUGCUUGUUUGCGCUUUGAUGAAGCUGAGCUUGGGGCUUAUGCUGAGAGUGAGCUGCUGUUGGAUUGAGAUUGGGGAGGCCAGGCCGUGCAUUCGAAUCUCAUUAAUAAGGGUGUCACAUGUUGAGGUUUUGGGGACGAUAUUUCGUUUGCAAGGGGAGUUUGCUGAAAACCUAGGUCAAAACAUCGAUUAUACACUACACCUUCCUGUCUAUUUUCCAUGUAAGCAAAUGAAUCCAACGAAGCAGUAUCGCUGCAUGCACUCCGCCUGCUGCUUAUGUACAGCAGGGCACCUUACCGAAGAAAUCAUCUUCUUAGUCUUCAACCAACUAAACUGGAAUCCCAAAUUAAUCGCUGCAUUCUCUUGCACAUGUAAAUGGUUCGACGAUCUUGCCAAGCGAAUACUGUGGAAGGAAUUCUGCAAAACCCGAGCUCCAAAGAUGAUGCUCGAUUUACAGUCCAAUGGAAGCCAUAGCGUAGAUGGAAACUGGCGCGCCCUCGGUAAGCUCCUCAUAUACUGCUCAGGAUGCAACAAGGACGGGUUAUUCAAGAGCAACCAAAUCCCGGGACACUUUGUGUACAGGACUCGAUUCUCAAGGACAUCAGGCAAGAGCUUUCUGUUACCACAAUGCAGGACGGAUGUUCUAUACGUGUCUGAUCCAUGCGAGCAUCUCGACCAGGGGGAUGAUGGUGAUGUCGGAUUUUUCCGUGGGAUUUUCAAAUCUUUUGUCACAUCGAAGGUCAGGAAAAUGCUUAUAAGGAAAAGCGCACCACUGCAUCCGACGGAAGUGUGCCCUUACUGCAAAGCGAAGCUCUGGAACAUGCUGGCUGCAAAAAUGGUGCCAUCGAGCGCAAGCUGUCGCCUAGGCGCGUAUGAAGACUGCAUCGAGUAUUACGUUUGCCUUAACGGACAUAUGCUUGGGAUUUGCACGCUGCUGCCGUUGUCGGACACUGAUGAGGUGGCGUCGGAAGACGACGGAUAAGCUCAUGCAAAUAUAAUAUAUCAGGGAGCAAUUGAAUGCAACUAACUGCCUACCUGUUGAUGAAAAGAGAGAAUGGAUUGAUUGCUUCAAGGGAGUGGGCAGCACAGGUAGGGAAGUUACGGACCGCUGUUUUUGGCUUGUGUCAGUUCACGAGUGAUAGCACGUGCACGUGCAUGCAUUCGAUAUCCUCAUGUUGCCGAUGAAACCGCCUCUUGGUUUUCUGAGGAUGAAGCUUCGGAAGCCGAUUCCAGCUUCCGGAAGACGAACUUCUGCUGGGGCAAUUGGCCAUUGGAAAAGGCCGUGACCUCGGUGUCGACAAGUAUACUGUCCUCCUCCUUGUAGUCGCCUCUCAAAAUCCCCUUUGCGAGUUCGUUUUCAAUGUACUGUUGGAUCACUCGUUUCACCGGCCUUGCUCCGUAGUUCGGAUCAUAGCCGAGGCUCCCUAAGAGCUCUAUCGCUGCGUCGCUCACCUCUAUCUUCAUCUUCCGAUCGGCUACCCUUUUCUGCACCCGAUCCAACUGCCAUAAACACCAAGAGAAGAUAUUAGUCAAGCCGCAUUGUUCAGCAAGUGGGACAAAUGGGUAUUUACCUGUAAGCGAACGAUGCUGCUGAUCUGUUCCCGGUCGAGAGGCUGGAACACUAUAUACUCAUCGACCCGGUUCAUGAACUCGGGGCGGAAAAUUGCACGUGCAGCCUCCAUCACGCGAUGUUUUAUCGUCUCGUAAGCCAUCUCCGUGUUCUCAUCCUCCUGCGUGUUCAGUAUAUACUGCGAUCCGACGUUCGACGUCAUGAUAAUCACAGUAUUCGUGAAGCUCACGGUCCGCCCUUGUGAGUCGGUCACCCUCCCGUCGUCGAGGAUUUGAAGAAACACGUUGAAUACGUCGGCGUGGGCCUUUUCUAUCUCGUCGAACAGAAUAACAGCGUACGGCCUCCUCCGCACCGUCUCUGUUAACUGGCCCCCUUCCUCGUACCCAACGUACCCAGGCGGCGCCCCUAUCAGCCUCGACACAGCAUGCUUCUCCAUGUACUCGCUCAUGUCGAUUCUCACCAUCGCUUCCUCCGUGUUGAAGAGGUAAGAGGCGAGCGCCUUGGCCAGCUCGGUUUUCCCGACACCUGUAGGGCCCAUGAACAUGAAGCUCGCGAUUGGGCGGUUGGGGUCCGAUAAGCCCGCUCUCGAUCGCUGUAUGGCUUCUGCGACGGCUCGUACUGCAGGGUCCUGUCCGACUACGCGCUUGUGCAGCUCUUCCUCCAAGUGCAGGAGCUUCUCCCUCUCGGAUUGUUGUAGCUUGGAGAUGGGAAUUCCCGUCCAUUUGCUGACUAUUUCUGCGAUGUCGUUCCCGGUGACUUCCUCUCUGAGCAUCGACUUUCCCGACCUCAUGUACUCAUCCAAUUCUUUCUCUGCAGUGUCGAGCUGACGCUGCAGGGAAUUUAAGCUCCCGUAUUUCAACUCGGCCGCCCGAUUGAGAUCAUACUCUCGCUCGGCUUGCUGUAUCUCCAGAUUUACUCUAUCGAUCUGUAAAAGUUUUUAA
RNA transcript from Andrographis paniculata, 2733 nucleotides. It is a transcript of the gene named EID1-like F-box protein 2, with no coding region annotated. The record is from RefSeq and is a predicted model, not a curated record. The transcript is spliced from 5 exons. NCBI's taxonomy places the organism in Eukaryota, Viridiplantae, Streptophyta, Magnoliopsida, Lamiales, Acanthaceae.